RNAcentral lists this ribosomal RNA (1363 nucleotides) under uncultured bacterium. Its description in RNAcentral is "bacterial SSU rRNA". It matches the Rfam family "Bacterial small subunit ribosomal RNA", at positions 29 to 1382 of the family's 1533-position model. The record is from RNAcentral.
ACGAACGCUGGCGGCGUGCCUAAUACAUGCAAGUCGAGCGGGCGGGGUGGGAGACCACCGCGUCAGCGGCGGACGGGUGAGGAACACGUGAGUGACCUAGCUGGGGGCGGGGGAUAUCGGGCCGAAAGGCGCGGCAAUCCCGCAUACGCCCUGGGUAGCGACGGCGCCAGGGGAAAGCGCGGGAGCGCACCCCCAGGGGGGCUCGCGGCCCAUUAGCUAGUUGGGGGGGUAAGGGCCUCCCAAGGCGACGAUGGGUAGCCGGCCUGAGAGGGUGGACGGCCACACUGGGACUGAGACACGGCCCAGACUCCUACGGGAGGCAGCAGUAGGGAAUCUUCCACAAUGGGCGCAAGCCUGAUGGAGCAACGCCGCGUGAGUGAAGACGGCCUUCGGGUUGUAAAGCUCUGUCGGUGCGGACGAGGACCCGCGGGGGGCCGCGGGGGGGCCGGUACGCGCCGAGGAAGCCCCUGCAAACUACGUGCCAGCAGCCGCGGUAAGACGUAGGGGGCGAGCGUUGUCCGGAAUGACUGGGCGUAAAGGGCGUGUAGGCGGACCGGUACGUAGCGAUUUUAAGCCGUCGGCUCAGCCGGCGGAGGGUUGCUAAACGGCGGGUCUGGAGGGCAGGAGAGGUGCGGGGAAUUCCUGGUGGAGCGGUGAAAUGCGUAGAGAUCAGGAAGAACACCGGUGGCGAAGGCGCCGCACUGGACUGACCCUGACGCUGAGGCGCGACAGCGUGGGGAGCGAACGGGAUUAGAUACCCCGGUAGUCCACGCCGUAAACGAUGGGGACUAGGUGUUGCGCGGGUGCACCGCGCGGUGCCGGAGCUAACGCACUAAGUCCCCCGCCUGGGGAGUACGGCCGCAAGGUUGAAACUCAAAGGAAUUGACGGGGGCCCGCACAAGCAGUGGAGCAUGUGGUUUAAUUCGACGCAACGCGAAGAACCUUACCAGGGCUAGACGGGACCGUGAGCGUCGCGAAAGCGGCGGGCGCUGGGGGGAACUCUGGCGAGCGGUCGGCAGGUGCUGCAUGGUUGUCGUCAGCUCGUGUCGUGAGAUGUUGGGUUAAGUCCCGCAACGAGCGCAACCCUCGUCGGCUGUUGCCAGCGGUGCGGCCGGGCACUCAGUCGAGACCGCCGGGGACGACCCGGAGGAAGGUGGGGAUGACGUCAAAUCCGCAUGGCCUUGAUGCCCUGGGCGACACACGUGCUACAAUGGCGCCGACAACGGGAGGCGACCGCGCGAGCGGGAGCGGAUCCCUCAAAGGGCGUCGUAGUUCGGAUUGCAGGCUGCAACUCGCCUGCAUGAAGGCGGAAUUGCUAGUAAUCGCGGAUCAGCAUGCCGCGGUGAAUCCGUUCCCGGGCCUU